Molecule: ribosomal RNA, 425 nt
Filed under: uncultured bacterium
Lineage: Bacteria
Description: partial 16S ribosomal RNA
Rfam family: Bacterial small subunit ribosomal RNA
Source: RNAcentral
GUGGGGAAUAUUGGGCAAUGGGGGAAACCCUGACCCAGCAACGCCGCGUGAAGGAAGAAGGUCUUCGGAUCGUAAACUUCUAUCCUUGGUGAAGAUAAUGACGGUAGCCGAGAAGGAAGCCCCGGCUAACUACGUGCCAGCAGCCGCGGUAAUACGUAGGGGGCAAGCGUUGUCCGGAAUGAUUGGGCGUAAAGGGCGCGUAGGCGGCCUGGUACGUCUGGAGUGAAAGUCCUGCUUUUAAGGUGGGAAUUGCUUUGGAUACUGUCGGGCUUGAGUGCAGGAGAGGUAGGUGGAAUUCCCGGUGUAGCGGUGAAAUGCGUAGAGAUCGGGAGGAACACCAGUGGCGAAGGCGACUUACUGGACUGUAACUGACGCUGAGGCGCGAAAGUGUGGGGAGCAAACAGGAUUAGAAACCCGAGUAGUCC